GUAAUUAUACUUUAACAAAAACAUUAGAUUGUGAAUCUAACAAUAGAAGAUAAACCCUUCUUACUUACC
This is a transfer RNA of Cavia porcellus (domestic guinea pig), 69 nucleotides long. It matches the Rfam family "tRNA". Rfam says of the family: Transfer RNA (tRNA) molecules are approximately 80 nucleotides in length. The record is from Rfam. Lineage: Eukaryota; Metazoa; Chordata; Mammalia; Rodentia; Caviidae.